AAUAAAGUUUUAUUUUAGCUUUAUAAUUUGCUAUUAAUUUAAUUUAUAUGUAAAUUUUUGUGUGAAUUAGUAUUUAUUUUAAUAAUUAAUAUUAUAUAAUAUAUUCGCAGUAAUUAAUAUUAUUAAUCAAAGAAAUUUGGAAAUAGUAAUAUUAAAAAGUAUUGGCUAAAUUUGUGCCAGCAGCCGCGGUUAUACGAAUUAUACAAGUAAAUUUUAUUUAGAAAAAGUUAAAUUAUUUUAGAUUAAAAUAAAAAUAAAUUUAUUAGGUGAAAUUUUUAAUUUAUUUAAAUUUUAUUAAUUAUGAUUGAAACUUAAAAAUUUUGUUUAUAAACUAGGAUUAGAUACCCUAUUAUUUAAAAUGUAAAUAAUUAUUCUAAGGUAGUAGUAGUUAUGUUCUUGAAACUUAAAAAAUUUGGCGGUAUUUUAGUCUAUUCAGAGGAACUUGUUCUGUAAUCGAUAAUCCACGAUGGACCUAACUUAAAUUUGUAACAGUUUAUAUACCGUCGUUAUUAGAAUAUUUUAUAAGGAUGUUAAUUUUUAAAAUUUUUUAUAGGAAAAUAUAUCAGAUCAAGGUGUAGCUUAUGUUUAAGUAGAAAUGGGUUACAAUAAAUUUAUUUAAACGGAUAUAAAUUUGAAAUAUUUAUUAAAGGUGGAUUUGAUAGUAAAAUUAUAAAGAUUAAUAUUUUGAUUUUAGCUCUAAAAUAUGUACACAUCGCCCGUCACUCUUAUUUUAAGGUAAGAUAAGUCGUAACAUAGUAGAUGUAUUGGAAAAUGUAUCUAGAAUGC
RNAcentral lists this non-coding RNA (786 nucleotides) under Sphecapatoclea sp. The record is from RNAcentral. Lineage: Eukaryota; Metazoa; Arthropoda; Insecta; Diptera; Sarcophagidae.